RNAcentral lists this long non-coding RNA (2109 nucleotides) under Homo sapiens (human). RNAcentral describes it as "long intergenic non-protein coding RNA 906". Lineage: Eukaryota; Metazoa; Chordata; Mammalia; Primates; Hominidae. The record is from RNAcentral.
AAGGAGUGCAAGUAGCAAGCAAUAGCCCACCCAGUUGGAGACAAAAAAGAAGGGUGUCAGUGUUCCCACUGUUAAAAAACAAAAAAAAAUCACCCUGGACACCUCUGAGAAUUAUACAAGGGGAUGUACACAGCCCUGCUUUAUUUGAGUUCAAAAGGAAGGUGGGUUUUGAAAGAAGAACAAGGAGAGUAGAUCUCUCUGGAUCUUCUGAUGCUCACAGCAAAGAGCUCAAGAUGAAGAAAGAUGAUACGAUGUGAUGGACAACAGAGACUUAUAUGGUGGGGUCUGGGCUGGUCUUUCUGAAGCUAAGACUGGCAGGAUGAGCAGGAGUUUGCCAGACAAAGAGGAGUGGAGUUGUUUUCCAAACACAUCUCAGCACAAAGUGUUGUCUUUGCUGGGAGCUGAAAAAAGAUAGUGUGGGCAGAGACCAUUAGGUGAGACGCUUGAUAUGAGAUACAACCUCAACAGGUGGAAGAAGAUCAUGAGAGAUGAAGAGAGGAAUAUAGUACAGCAGAGAGGACACAGAAGCUGACGUCAGGGUGUCUCAGUUUGAAACCAGUGGCCACCCUGUUCCUCUCCCAUGUGGUCCCAUCAUGGGCCUCUAGGGUCUGGGAUAAGAGGUUAAUGAAUAUCUCAUACCCUAAGCAGGGGUGGUCCCUGCACUUUAGCAAAAAGUUAAGGAACUAGGGAAAAGAGAUGGAAAUAAUAAAGAGAUGGGACAAAGACUUUGAAGACCAAAGCCCCUGGGCUAUUCUCUUUUUUAAAUUUUUUUAUUUAAAUUUUCAUUUAUUUUUAUCAAGAUAGGGUCUCACUAUGUUGCCCAGGUUGGUCUCAAACUUUUGGCCUAAAGCAAUCCUCCCACCUUGGCCUCCCAAUGUGCUGGGAUUACAAUGUGAGCCACCACGUCCAGCCUCCUGGGAUAUUUCUCAAUGAAACAUUGGAUGCCAAGAUUGGUUUUGUGCCACAUGCCAAUUUCACAGAAGCCAGUCUAUGAGCCACCAGCUCUACUCAGCAAUUACAGUUUCUGGAACUUUGGCUAAAUUCCUGUAGAUGCACCACUGCUUGUGGCCUGACUCUUUGCCACCCAAGUGCGCUCAGCCUCCCCUGGGGAGUCUGCCAGGCUUGCAUGGCUCCCACUGCACUUGCUGUGCUGGGACCGAAAACAGUUUUUGUGCCCCUAGCUUAACUCCACUGGAUUCAUAGAGGCUUUGGCCUCCUCAAUGGCUGUCCUGGGACAGGGAGGCUGGUUAGCACAAUUAACACAACCUGGUCAUGCAAGGCAUUGAUGGUCCGUAACAUGAACUUUGACCAGUAGGAGACAGAGAAUGGAAAAAAGCCAGCAGAUAAAUCAUCUGGCCUUCCUCCCCUAUGACAGACUGUUCUGAGCCACAGUGUUUCACAUGUCUUCCUGGAGAUGUCCCACAUGACUUGAGCAACCAGCUGGAGCUCUGGAGAAACUGUGGCCAUCCUGAGGAAGAAACAGGCCCAGAGAAGUUGGGUAACUCAUCAAAGGUCACAGAGCUAAGAGUGGCAGAGUCAGGCCUGGAGCCCAGGAAGUCUGGUUUCGAAUUUCAUGCUUCUAACCUGAGCACUGUACUGCUUGGUGGAGUUCUCUGCUAGUCCUACCUUUCAGGCAGAGGUGAUGCAGCAAGAAAGCUGCCACCAGAUGCAGCCCCUUGAUCUCGGACUGCCCAGCCUCUAGAACUGUGAGCCAAUUAAAUUUUUCCUUUGUAAAUUACCUAGUCUCUGGUAUCCUGUUAUAGCAGCAUAAACAGGCUAAGAUAGUAAGACAGUAGGGAAACAAGCUCCAGAUGUACUUGAAGUCUCUUGUUCUUAUUUUAGGAGUUGAAGAGCAAUUCCCUCCAGUUUCCAUUAGAAAUGCUUCUUCUUCCAUAUCAAAUAUUGUGAGAUAGCCUGAAACACCUUUCAACACUUUACUACCCUUCUCCAAAAUUCAACAGAUAUGAUUUCCACGGACUUUACUCACAGGGGCUUCAGUAGAAGAGGAAGAGGCUUGGGUUUAAUUGAAGGUGGCCUGAGACAUCUGUGAGGAACAGCCCUUUUAGAGACAUAUCCCCUACAAAUAAAGCAUCAGAAUUAUUAUCCUAA